AAAUUAAUAUUUAUAUAUUUAAUAUUCCCGAAUUUAGAAGAGCAAGUUGUCUAUAGUUCUUAUCGUUGAAUAGAUAUCUUUAAUAGACUUCUUGAGGCGAAACGUUAUUCGUUUCUAAAUAUAUCUGGUUUUUUCAGAAAUAGAUUUAAUCUACUUUACUUUUUUAAGCUUUCAUUUUAUUGGUUGCUUGUUUGAGUAAAGUUAUGCCCUAUGGGAUGAGCUUUAAGGCAGAUAUCUAUAAUAUGUUAUUGUUACUUGAUAUAUAGGAUUAGAAGUUUCCAUUAUUCGGAGGAUGUUAUAGUUUUUUUUGUUAAAAGCUUUAUUUUUUUAUUAUUUAGAUUUUUUAUGAAAAAGAGUUCUUUAAUAACUAAAGUUUGGUUAUAAUGAUAGAAUUAGUAUAUGUAUGUAUGUUGAAUCUAAAUUUAAUUUCUAGGUUAAUAAAAGGAACUCGGCAAAUUAUUUUUCACCUGUUUAUUAAAAACAUGGCCUUUUGAUAAUAAUUUAAGGUCUGGCCUGCCCGCUGAAGUUUGAAUGGCCGCGGUACUUU
This 547-nucleotide ribosomal RNA is filed under the name Stenodontes exsertus. RNAcentral's name for it is "partial 16S ribosomal RNA". The record is from RNAcentral. Lineage: Eukaryota; Metazoa; Arthropoda; Insecta; Coleoptera; Cerambycidae.